CUAAAUGCCGGUUACUUUACUGUAGUACUCAGGUGCGUGUUUUCAAAAUUUAUAACCCCGCGCUUUUAAAUUAAUUUUAAAAAUUAUUUAUUUAUUUGAAACUUUUUAUUUGAUUUGUAGGCAAAUUUUAAAUGGGGGAGAGACGGAAAAAAUUAUUUGAAAAUUUUUAUUUUAGCGCUUCUUGCGGUGGAAAAUUUUAUUGUGGAAAUGGGGAAAUUAAUUGAGAAGUGAUCAAGUUUGUGAUAGGUGGGGAUUGACAAGUGAUUUUGUUUAUUAAAAUAUUUGUUCAAUUAAUUUUUUGACUUGAGUUGUCAAGAGUUCAACGAUCUGAUAAUAAUGGCGGGUAACUCGCCAUGUUUUGUUUUGGAUCACGUGGUUUUUUUUGAAUUAGCGCGCGUUAAAUUUUAUUUUGUUUAUAAUUGACGGAUGAGUUUGAAGGAAGUUUCAAGAGUAAUGAGAAGUAAUUUAUGUAAUUAAUUAUUAAAUUAAUAAUUUGAAAUUUUUUGACCGUAAUAGAACACAUGGAAAGGAAGAUAUUUAAAAAAAUUAGUGUUAGAGCCAAGUUUUUUCUUUUAAGCGGCCAUUUUUACUUAUAACAAUGCAGAAACUGUUACAAAAAAAUGAAAAAUGAAUGGGAAAGAAGCAGACGGUGUAAGUUAAGAAGACUAGGCCGGAUUGUCUGAAAUAAAUUCCUGGAAGGAUCAAGCCGAUGGAUCGGGAUCUUUUGUAAAAAGAUCAACAGAAAUAAUCGAUACAUUCCCUUUCAAUUUUAUGCCAGCCUCUUUUUUUUCCUCUCAAGCUUUAGUUUAUACUCCAUAGUAUCGA
Molecule: long non-coding RNA, 825 nt
Organism: Microplitis demolitor
Lineage: Eukaryota; Metazoa; Arthropoda; Insecta; Hymenoptera; Braconidae
Exons: 3
Source: RefSeq, a predicted model, not a curated record